UUUUAGAGAAUUUUUACAAUUUUUCUAUAAGUGCGAAGUGCAGCUUACAUCUGAACACAUUGGCGAAGUGAUUAAUUUGUGUAAAAAAUAUGAAUUGAACGAAGCAGUCGAGGCGUGUUAAAUUCCAUUCAAAAAAUGAUUGACCAACAAUGAGAUGUGUUUUGGUUAUGAAGUGGCCGUUCUUCUUGAACUUGAAAACAAACAGCGAUUUUGUGAGGAAAAAAUUCGAGAAAAUGCACAAGAAUCUUGACAUCCGACAGCUUUUUGGAGUGUAACCGCAAAUCGAUUGAGAAUAUUCUACAGUUGAUGGAAUCAAGGUGUAACCCAUUAAUAAUCGAAUGGUCAAAGGCAGAAAAUAUGCGAAAUGGCAUCGACUUGAAUCCAUUGAAGCUGAGAGUGCAAUUGGGUGAUUUAUUCCCAUUGGAUGAACUAAACGAGGAAGAGUUUCUCGCUUCCACGUCUAAAUAUGUAGGCUUUGUGUCAGACCAAGAAAUUAAAGCCAUGACUUGGAAUACUAAAUCUCUAACACGAUGUGUUUCCACACCGAAUAUAGAGUUAAAAAUCGAAAAUAGGUUUAUUUAUUUUAAAUUAAGGUUGAAGCUGUUGUAUUUCCAGAAUGUAGGAUGUAAUGUGCUCUAAUGUAUAAAAUGGAGAAAAAGGUUGUGGUGUAUUUAUUGAGACGACCAAGAAAAUACAGCACAUUGGAAAGACCGGAUUAUUUUUUUUGUUGCGACAGUGAGUCCUUUAAUUUCAAAACAUACAAUCAGCCUUCUGGAUUUUCCAUCAACUGUAUAACACGGAAUAUCUGCAUAGCAAGAACAAUAUCUGUACAACACGAAACACUCAUUUUCACGGCAAUACAAUCGGGUUGUGGUC
Contarinia nasturtii (swede midge) is the source of this 876-nucleotide long non-coding RNA. RefSeq lists it as uncharacterized. Lineage: Eukaryota; Metazoa; Arthropoda; Insecta; Diptera; Cecidomyiidae. The transcript is spliced from 3 exons. The record is from RefSeq and is a predicted model, not a curated record.